This 24-nucleotide non-coding RNA is filed under the name Arabidopsis thaliana (thale cress). The record is from RNAcentral. Lineage: Eukaryota; Viridiplantae; Streptophyta; Magnoliopsida; Brassicales; Brassicaceae.
GAACUUCGAACACCACAAAGCUUA